This is a long non-coding RNA of Oncorhynchus gorbuscha (pink salmon), 600 nucleotides long. RefSeq lists it as uncharacterized. The transcript is spliced from 2 exons. NCBI's taxonomy places the organism in Eukaryota, Metazoa, Chordata, Actinopteri, Salmoniformes, Salmonidae. The record is from RefSeq and is a predicted model, not a curated record.
UAUCUAACUGGGAGUCUCGUGAGUGAAAACAUCCGAAGCUCAUCAAAGAUCCCUGCUCAUCCACUGGCCCAUCAGCCCAGCCAGCCAGCCAAUUCAUUAACUUGAUCUCCACUGUAAAAGGCAUCUAGACAUUAUUUCCCCUUGCUUCUAGCCUAACAUUUUUGUUUGCAUCAAUGGGGGGUGUUGUACAAACGUUGCUGUCUUUCUCUCAACAUUUGCAACAUCGUUUCAUUAUUGAAAUUCAAUAUGCACUAUCCUAUUGAGAAUUAACGUGUCAGGACAAGACUGACAUCUUGUCUCAGCCAGUUGAAAUUAUGAAUCCGCAAAAUCAUUAUGGAUAUAUACAAAGAAAUGUCCAUUUAAAACCAGGUCAAAGGAAAUUAAAAGUAGUUACUUUCCUGUUAUUCUAGCUGCAUGGUUUGAUGUGACUGUUAAUAGUAGUUGGCUAGCUAGCAGGCAAGGGAUAAGAGUGUUAUCAGUAUAAAUGUAUAGCUGGGGAGGUGACGCCCAUAAGGGAAGAGUAUAACAUGUGUUGUGAGCUUUCUAAAUGCAUGCACUCAGCUGACUGUAUCCUUGGUAUUAAACACUCUCUUAAACUUC